CCCUCCUGGGCUCCCCUCCCUCCCGCCCCGCACCCCACGUGAAGCGGAAUAUAAAGGGGGGUGUGUGAGUGGAGGGGAAAGUGAAUGGCCAAGGACUGAAGGGGUCCCCCUCCGGUUCCCCAGCCACCUGGUUCACCCGGUUCAUCCUCCCUUCCCGAAGCUAGCCCUCGAAGGCAGGAGCAGCCGGCGCCUUCGGCAGAGGAGGAGGAGGAGGAGGUGGAGGAGGAAUCGCGUCGGGCGGAGCUUCAGGUCCUGUUCUCCUCUCCGGCUUCUCCAUACAAAGAUUACGGUGCAGAAGGAAAUUGCACUCGCCUCCUCCGCCCCCCCGGUACCCAGCACAAUGCACCAGCCGCCCGAGUCCACUGCCGCGGCGGCCGCCGCUGCAGACAUUAGUGCUAGGAAGAUGGCGCACCCGGCAAUGCUCCCUCGAAGGGGCAGCGGUGGUGGCGGCGCCUCUGCUCUCAAUGCAGCAGGUACCGGCGUCAGUAGUGCUGCUCCAUCUUCUGAGGAUUUUCCUCCUCCUUCGCUGCUCCAGCCGCCGCCUCCUGCUGCAUCUUCCUCGCAGGGACCACAGCCUCCGCCUCCACAAAGCCUGAACCUCCUCUCGCAGGCUCAGCUGCAGGCACAGCCUCUUGCGCCGGGUGGAACUCAGAUGAAAAAGAAAAGUGGCUUCCAGAUAACUAGCGUUACUCCGGCUCAGAUCUCUGCCAGCAUCAGCUCUAACAACAGCAUAGCAGAGGACACGGAGAGCUACGACGAUCUGGAUGAGUCUCACACGGAGGACCUGUCUUCUUCGGAGAUCCUCGAUGUGUCGCUCUCCAGGGCCACUGACUUGGGUGAGCCUGAACGCAGCUCUUCAGAAGAGACUCUGAAUAACUUCCAGGAAGCCGAGACCCCCGGGGCAGUCUCUCCUAACCAGCCCCACCUUCCUCACCUCCCACAACAGAACGUUGUGAUCAAUGGGAAUGCUCAUCCACACCACCUCCAUCACCACCAUCACGUUCAUCACGGGCACCACCUUCACCAUGGACACCACCACUCACCCCACGCUGCCGUGGCCAGCCCGUCCAUCCCUGGAGGGCCACCCUCGAGCCCAGUGUCCAGAAAACUCUGUACAGCUGGAAGUUCUGAUGGUGGUGUGCCAGUUGUACCUACUUCUGCUGUAUCAUCGAGUGGCUUGCCCGCAUCUGUGAUGACUAAUAUCCGUGCUCCAAGUACUCCAGGCAGCAUAGGUAUAAAUUCUGUUACUGGCACGAAUGCAACCAGUAAUGUUAACAUUGCUGCUGUGGGUAGUUUCAGUCCUAAUGUGACAAGCAGCGUGCUUGGUAAUGCUAAUCUAAGUACAAGCAAUAUUCCUAAUGCUGCUAGUGUAAGUGUUGGGCCUGGAGUUGCCAGUGGUGUUAAUGUGAAUGUCUUGAGUGGCAUGGGCAAUGGUACUGUUUCUUCCUCUCCUAUUGCUAACAGUGUCCUUAAUGCAGCUGCAGGUAUCACUGUGGGAGUGGUUUCAAGUCCGCAGCAGCAGCAGCAACCAACAGUUAACACGUCAAGGUUCAGAGUUGUGAAGUUAGACUCUACCUCUGAGCCCUUUAAGAAAGGUAGAUGGACUUGCACUGAGUUCUAUGAAAAAGAAAAUGUCCUGCCGGCUACAGAAGGCGCGGCGAUUAAUAAAGUGGUGGAGACUGUGAGGCAGACCCCGGCGGAAGUGUCUUCGGAGAGGGAGAGCACUAGCGGGAGUUCCGUGAGCAGUAGUGUCAGCACACUGAGUCACUACACAGAGAGUGUGGGAAGCGGAGAGAUGGGAGCCCCUGCUGUGGUGGUGCAGCCGCAGCCGUCACCGGGUCUUCAAGGUGUGGCCCUCCAGCAGAUAGAUUUCAGUAGCCCUGGUUCACAGAGUAUUGCAGCAGUGAGUAUACCACAGAGUAUUUCUCAGUCACAGAUGUCACAAGUACAAUUACAGCCUCAAGAAUUGAGCUUUCAGCAGAAGCCAGGCCUUCAACCUGUACCUCUGCAAGCCACUAUGAGUGCAGCCGCCGGUAUCCAGCCUUCCUCCGUCAACGUGGUUGGUGUCACGUCAGCUGUAGGUCAACAGCCUUCCAUUUCCAGUUUGGCUCAACCCCAACUGCCGUAUUCUCAGACAGCUCCUCCAGUGCAAACUCCUCUUCCAGGGGCACCACCCCAGCAGUUACAGUAUGGGCAACAGCAACCAGUGGUUUCUACACAGAUAGCUCCAGGCCAUGGCCAGUCGAUGACUCAAAAUCCUACUUCAGAGUAUGUACAGCAGCAGCCCAUUCUUCAAGCAGCGAUGUCCUCGGGACAGUCCAGUUCUGCAGGAGCAGGAGCAUCAGUGAUCCCUGUGGCUCAGCCCCAGGGAAUCCAGCUGCCAGUGCAGCCCCCAGCAGUGCAAGCACAACCUGCAGGGGCAUCUGGGCAGCCCAUUGGCCAGGCUCACACAGCAGUGCCUGCUGUACCAACCGGCAGUCAAAUCGCAAGUAUUGGUCAACAAGCAAACAUGCCCACUGUAGUACAGCAGCCAUCCACCCAAGUUACACCUUCAGUUAUCCAGCAAGGUGCUCCUCCAUCUUCACAAGUAGUUCUACCUGCUUCAGCCGGGAUUCUUCAUCAGGGAGUUCAAACUAGUGCUUCAAGCCUUCCUCAACAGCUGGCUAUCGCACCCCAGAGUACCUUGUUAACUGUGCCUCCCCAGCCGCAGGGAGUAGAAACAGUGGUUCAAGGAGUUGUUUCCCAGCAGUUGCCCACAGGUAGUCCUUUGCCCUCUGCUAGUAGUAUUUCUGUUACAAAUCAGGUUAGUUCAGCCGGUCCUGCUGGAAUGCCUUCUGCCCCACCAAACUUAGUUCCACCACAGAAUAUAGCACAACCCCCGGCUACCCAAAAUGGCAGUUUGGUUCAAAGUGUUAGUCAAUCUCCCUUGAUAGCCACUAACAUAAAUUUGCCUUUGGCACAGCAGAUACCACUAAGUUCUACUCAGUUCUCUGCACAAUCAUUAGCUCAGGCCAUUGGAAGCCAAAUCGAAGAUACCAGGCGCCCAGCGGAGCCCUCCUUAGCCGGCUUACCUCAGACUAUCAGUGGUGACAGUGGGGGACUGUCAGCAGUUUCAGAUGGGGGUAGCAGCAGCCUAGCAGCCUCUGCUUCUCUCUUCCCGUUGAAGGUGCUACCGCUGACAACACCCCUGGUGGAUGGCGAGGACGAGAGCUUUGGUAUGUUUCCAAACUGGCUGCCAGAGCCAGGAGGAAGGAAGGCAGUAGACACUAACUGUUGGUUACUACCUCCUUAAUGCUGAGACUAUAACCGUUGUUGGUUUAUAGAGAGCAGGAGAGAGCCCAGCCCUCGUUCCACUAACAGGUAAGGAACCCUUGUGAUAACCAGUCGUGUGAGAGGGAAGUAACUUGUAGAAUUUUUGCCCUUCAUUUACCCAAAAUAUAACAUGUCCCAGAAAUAGGACACCAUGGCUGACUAAUCAGAGAGCAGGGACACACGGCACUUUUAUAGUUAGUGGGAGGUCUUCAGCUUUAACUGUACCACAAAGAUAAUCAUUUUCCCCGAGGCACUACUGUUAAUUCCUGUGACUUUACAUACAUGCCUGCCUCUCUGGUUCUCCUUUCAGCUUUCCCUUGCUCAGAUGCUAUGUGCUUUGAACCUCUGUCCUAUAUACGAUAAAGCUGGUUUCCAGGAUCUUUAGCAUCAUCUAUUGUUAGCUCUAUUUCAGUGCUUCUCUCCUACCAGAGGUGCAAGGAGUGAUCCUAGAGCCACAGAUACAAGACCACGGAGAGCUUUUGACGCCAGGGUCCACUUUCUCCACUGAACCCUUGGAGACAGAAUGCCCAGCUUCUGGAGAGAGUGGGAGAGGAUAAUAAACAAGUGGGUGCUUUCCAUUCUUUACUUGGGUUUAUUUAUAGAGUGGAGUGUCCUUCUGUUGCCCAUUUUAGUCAGUUGGUAAUCUCCUUGGCUUCUUACAAGAACCAGGUGGGACUGCAAUCUCUGUUUUUUCUGAGAAUACUAUGUAGUGCCCAUUCAAAAAAAAAAAAAAACCAAAAAUAAAAUUUAUUGAAUUUUCUCUCCAGAUAAUUAAAGCAGUACCUAAUCUGGGGCACACACACAUGAUUUGGUCUAUGCCUGUGUUGUUCACAGAAAUUUAAGAAAGGCAGUAAUUCCCCACUUUGGCCUUUAUUGUAACAGUGAACUGGAUAGAGUUCUUAUAGAGUCCUGCGCUUCUUCCUUGGGUGAGCUGGACAUCUGAGAUCUCUUAAUUUAUAUAGUUGAAUGUCCAGUUGUCACCCUGCCCUGUUAGUGAGGACUCUUUGGUCUUUUCCUACUAAAUGUUAGGCCUUCACACUCAAGUCUCUUAGGAGAUGGAAUGAUAGUACUGUUGUGGCUUUACUGUCAAAAGUAGGUUUCAUCCUUUAAUAAAAUAUAUAUGAAUGAGUAUAAAUUUCAGGAUUUAAUGUCCCUGACAGUUACAUUCAAUAUACUCAAAAGUAGUUUUCUAGUCCCUAGGAAUGACUAGAUUUUUCCUAGAGCAUUAAGAUGGUUCUUUGUUAGUUUCUUUGAUGCCAAGGGUAGGGUCUGAGUCCAGGCAGUUCUUACAUCUACAGUGGGUAGAAUGUGAAGUUGGUGCUUUGGCAAGUUUUCAUUGUUUCCUUGGUGGCUUCCUUCUGUGACUCCAGGUAUCUUGAUAAUGGGAGACCGGUUUAUGUGUUCUCUAAUUGCCCAGAUUUCUUUCAACUGGUAAAACAUGAUCCCUCUUCAGCAAAAGGAACUCCUCUAGCAGAGCCCACAUGGACGAUGUGUGUGUCACACAUGCCAGCACCUGCAGUUUGGAAGGCAGUGGUGAAUGGAUCCAUGCAGUAUGUCUAGAAGACACAAGGAUGAGCCAGCCACCUGAUCUUGUUUCUCACAGUCGUUUUAAGAUUUAUUCUGGGUUAUUUUUGGUCUGAAAUGGAAAGGCUCAAAUAAUGAAGUAAUCUUUUCAUAUUGGAGUUUCAUAUGGCCUUGAAAAUCCUUCUUAUUCUGAAGACUGAAAUAGAGGAAGCUUGAGAGUCCUGUCUUUCAAAGCAGCUCUCUGUAUCUGUUCACUUACAGGAUUUGUGGGACUGAAAAUCAUUUUAAUCAAGUAUGCAUCCCCCACUUUAAAACAUAGCAUAAAUACACAGAAAGUUUGAUAACCCCCUCUACUCCCUCUUCCCUUACCCAGUGCUAAAGGGGACUAGCAAAUAAAGGGUAAACCCAACUCUUCAAGAGUCUGUUAAUGUUCGAUGUACUCUUAGCUCAUCCCUGGCUGGUCCUGAUCCUUAUUCUUACUGUAAUUUAUCAAAUUUACAAAGUUGUAGAGCUAUCUCGGCAACCAGCAGAGUCUGGUCUGUGUUCCUAAGUAGUAAAUGCCUGUUAGGGUUUCCUCUGCACUAGGCAUACUACACUUGAAUGACGCAGAGCAGUUGGUAUGGAGUGGUGAUAAUCCAAAGAGUCACUGAACCUGCAGGUGUGAAUGAAUGUAGUUAUCCAGAUCACUGCUUGAGAGGAGCUACCAAACAAUUGUUUCUUUGGUUAUCUAGUAACUCUCUAGAAGCCAGUCAAAGCUGUUAAGGAAAACUGUAAGUCAGCUGAUGCUGCCAGCUCCUUUUAAUUUGGAAUAAGUUUUAAGAAGAGAAAUUGUAUAACAAUAACAACUGAAAUAUUAGGCGAUCAAAGUGUAAAAGCUACAUUUGCUAAAAUAUAAUCUGCUUUUAGACUCUCUUGGCUAUAAGAACUAUUUUUUCUUAUAAAUAUAAACAUUUUUCUAAAGUACAAUGUUUAAAAGUAAAUUUUAAAGAUAAUUUUGAACAGAAAAUUUCCCCACAGAACUCUGAAAUCCCAUGAAUGAUUACAGUUUUGUAUUCCUGACUUAAUAAGAUCCUUCAUGAAUACAUAUAAACAAAAAACCAAAUUCCCUAACAUUUUAGUAAGAACUCAGGGAACUGAAAGUGAGAUUUGCCUAGAAAUUGAGCUUCAUUCUUUAAAUGAUUGUAGAAACCAUUUUAUGGCCUGAGAUCACUAGCCUUUUGUCUCAGCACUGAAGACAGAGAGAGAUUUAAGCUUGGAAUCUCAAGCUUUAAUUAAUUUCAGCUCUGUUCUUAAAGUAUGCAAAAGAAAUGCCAGUGCAUUUCCAUUACCUCAUGCACUGGAAGCUAUUUCAAAGUGAAACUUUUUGUAUAUUACUGUGUACUGAUUUGUUUAAACUUUUAAUUUUGAUGCAUUUUCCUUUCAGAUUUUAAAAGAACAAUUUCGUGUCACAAUAUGCAAUCCUUUAUCAUUUACGUGUUUAUUUUAUGAAUAUAAGUUAUUUUCUAGAAUGAUUAAUUGUGUAAUAUUUGUAUUAUGUGAUCAUUUGAAAACUAAUAAAUAUUUUCUCCAUGGAAAAA
RNA transcript from Mesocricetus auratus (golden hamster), 6413 nucleotides. It is a transcript of the gene named TSC22 domain family member 1, with no coding region annotated. The transcript has 3 exons. The record is from RefSeq and is a predicted model, not a curated record. Lineage: Eukaryota; Metazoa; Chordata; Mammalia; Rodentia; Cricetidae.